GGCUGAGGCCUGCAAGGGAGGGGCUGGGUCUCUAGUACAGCCUGAACGAGGGAGUGUUCCCGCAAACGAGAUUCUCCGAUUCGAUAUUUCCGGGGAAGGACGGAGCAGGUCAGAAUGAAAGGACAAAGCGGAGCAAGAUGAGUGAAAGAGACCUGAGAGAAGCGGAAAAAAAGCGGAGCCAGGCUGGCCGGGAAGGUUAGGGCCACGAAGAUAGAAGCAGAUCGAAUGCACUAAGAGUUAACCCGAGGGGAGUAAGUUUGCCCGCCUGGACCUAAACCUCUGGCAGGCAGGAUGGUGUGGAAGGGCAGGUGGAGAGGACGGAGUCGAGCUAACAUUGGACGGAUCAGAGCGAGGACAGUAGAAGCGGCCCUGAUUGGUCUGGGACGAGGAAGGCGGGACUGAGCCAGGGGAGGGAACUGUAGAUGGAAUGGGGCCAAGCCUGACUGAAAAGGGCCAGGGCGAAGGGAAAGAGGCUCAGAUCCGGUAAAACGGGGGCAGACCUGAGGCCAAGGACAGGGCUAAGGCGGGGGAUAGAGGCUGAAAGCUAGGCCUGUCUACACUGAGCUUGGCCAGGAGGAGGAGAGUCUCAAAGGAUGGGGCGGGACGGAGGUGGAUGAUCAAGGAAUGCAGAAGGCGGAAAAGAUCUGAAAUGGGCUGUAGGAGGGGGAAUAGGGGGAGCUAGAGGAAAAGUGAGCGCUGGACAGAGGGUAAGGAGCUGGAACGGGGAGAUCUUGGAACAGGGCCCUAAUUAAGGGUCCGCAGGACCUUAGGGGCCGGCGUAAGGACCAAGGGAUGAGCAAGGACAGGGCUCAGUCUCCUUUCCGCGGCUGUGACUUCAUACCCUCCCCUUAGUCUUUUUGGGGGAGUCUUUGGGCGCCCACUCCGCAGUGCGCCAGUCACUCAGAACUCUGCCUCGCCAGUCUCUGCUCUUUCAUCCGGCCUGGCUGCCCCUUCAGAGAUCCCGGUCCCUUCCUGGGCCUGUCUUCCCUCUUAGCUUUUCGUCUCUGGGUGGCCUCCCUGUCCUGGGUCACUCUCCCUCCUGGUGUCUGUCCCCUCUUUGUCUCUGUGUUUUACUCCCUCAAGGUUCUGCCCAUUCACCUGGGUCGCUGACUCCCCGCCCCUUUCCUCUCCCUGCAGGCCGAUCCUUGCCCUCUUUCCAGCCAUCUCCCACCCUCUUUCUGGAUCUCAUCAUUCUUUUCCUCUGUCCCCUCCCUGAGUCUUCCCCAUGUCUCUCCCUUUCUAGAUGUCUCUUUCUGGAUGCCCCCUUCUCUCAGGGCGCCCCGCCCCUCACACCCUGAUCUAACCCCCAUCCUGGCCUGGACUCCAGGCUGAGUCACUGCAGGGAGUUGGAGAAGUGGGGCCUGACCUGCAGGCCAAGGUGGUGGUGCCGUCACUCCCCAGACUCAGGCUCUCCCAGCACCUCAGUCCAGGGUCUGUGACCCUCGUGCAGCCCUCAUACCUCUGAUGGGACCCACCAUGGCCAAGAAAAGAUCUGGGCACCACAGCUCUGUGCCCCAAAUUCUGGUGUGCCCCAGGCAGAAGCAGGCGAUCCAGAGGUGAGAGACGGGGUAAGGGCUGAGUGAGGCUUGCAGGCCAUUUGGGGGCGGGGUGGAGGCUGGAGCUGGGAUAGGGCCGGGCAGGGACCUGAGCCAGCCACCUCCCCUAAAGCACGCCCCCUGCUUCCCCCUGUUUAACUGCAGCCAUGUAGGAGAUCAAGGGACCGAAUCAGCAUUUUAGUAGAGGUCAGAUGGUAUAGAUAAAGUGGGGGUUUGGUAAGGAGAAAGGAUCUGGAAAGGGGAGACCACGGGAUGAGAUUUGGGAUUAGAAGCCACGGAGGGAGGGAGAGCCCUCCAACGGGGGGUAGUAAUAGGACGGUGAGGGCUCCCUGGGCCCAAAAUUUAGACGCUGUCACCCUUAUGGCCUUGUGGGACCUCUUCAGGCUACAUGGGGGAUCUAUGAGUCCGGAGUCCCCACCUGUCUUUUAGAAGGGACUUCGGGGGUCAAGAUGGGCCCUGAGUUUCUGGGACAUGGGCUCCAUGCUUAGCAACAGACACCAGGAGAGGAAAGGCUAAUCCUGUCCACGUCCAAUCCUUCCUUGUCCCUGCUCCUCCCAAUCCAUCCUUUCUCAGGUGCUCAAAGCACAGAAUUCCUCAAAGCUCCAAAGUCCCACCUCCACCAUCUCCAAGACUCCUUUCCAAUCCUCCUUACCCACUUCCCCAGAGUCCGGCACCUGGGGAUGGGUCUUCUCUGAUUUUAACGACCUCUAUUCUCAUUGGUUCCAAAUCCAGGAAAGGGAGACCCUUGAUCCCCGAGACCUCCAAAUACCUCGGUGCCCCAAAGCUUAGAACUGAGGGGGAAUCGCUCCGCUGUCAUUUUUGGGUCCCAUCUCCCAGUCCCCGCUUCCAUAAGUGGGAUUCGAGUCCUUUUACGCCCGCGGACCUGAACCUCCGCUCCCCCCCCCACUGUACUCACCCCUAGUCGAGGCGAGGCGGGGUUGGGGGUAUCCCGGCACUGGCGGUUGGGGGAGGGGUGGCCCAGCCCCGGCAGCUCUGGGCAGCGACCGGCUGCGGGGGGGCAGUGACAUCACCGCCGGAGGAGGGGCUGCCCUCGCUCCCCCUUACCCCGGGGCUUCAAGCUCCGCCUUUAUGGCAGACCCAGGGCCCCAGAAUCCAAAGGGGCGAGAAAGGGAACCGGAGACGAGACCAGCAGAAACGGCAUCCCCUCUCCUUAAAACAAGGGUUGGGAAAUCUUUCACCCAUUUCAGCGCCCCCCCACUGCCACCUGUCGCUGUGGUCGUGACCUGUCGCCUCCUACGCUUGUUGUGGCUACUACCGCCCUCGCCAGAGCGUGGAAAGGUGCGGACUACAACAUCCGGCGUGCUCCGCGGUCCGGGCGCCUUUGUGUGGAGGCAGAGAACGCCAGGGGUUUUAUGGGAUUCGUAGUAUAAGACACAGGCUCCCUUCCAUUAUUGUGAGCCUUACAGAACAGGAACCUCUGGUGAACUGAACACCAAUUUUUUUUUUCUCUCUCCAAAAAAAAUGCACUUAAGAGACCCAGGUAGAUGAAUUCAAUGGGAAUCUCGGAUCUUUCCCUGGAUGUUGAACCUCCGCGAUCCCGUGGUGCACGUGUGUCUCGCUGGGGCAUCAAUCGGAGAAUUGCGCCCGCGCGGUCCCGCCCCCUCUCUGCUCUGUUCGGGGAACGCGAGCGCGCGCCAGGCCCACUCGGGCUCCGCUGCUCGUGCUCCCGCGGUCAAAGACCGCCACGUAGGCCCCUAAGAAGACGUCGCCGAAGAUCCAGAGGGGUCCUGCAGGCGGAGGCAUAUCCAAGGCCUGGAAGCCGGACAAGCAGAGGCGGAAGCCACCCAGAGAAAUCUACAAGGCGCCAAGACAGGACCACAGGGUGUCAGUAACGCUCUUCCAGCUGCCUCUUCCCUUCCAGCCACCGCUUCGCCCCGCCCUGGUAGGCACACCCGGCUCCACCCUCAGCCCAGCGCACGCCGUGCUGCUGACGUCAUCGUGAUGGUCCCUCACCUGCAUGACGUAGUCCUGGGCCGUGAGGUUAAACCAGACACCCCCGAGGAGGAAGGAGACUGGGGGUAGCGUUGGGAUUUUGGAGCACAGAAUGAAAUGCUGGAAUGAAGAGGAACAAGUAAAGAUGGGCAAUUCUUGCUCCGCUCAAAUCCCUCUCUGGCUCCCCAGUGCCAUCAGGCACUAUCUGUUUUGGGCAGCUAGAUAUCCGGGUCUUAUGUGGACAGGCUUGUCGCCUAAGCUUCUUCACCCAGGCCUAAAUAAACCUAUCGGCUCAACUCCUCCCCGCUCCCCCAGAUCACCUGGGUAGCCAUGGCAGCGUCCAGCCCCACCACCUCAGAGGUCCGAUUCCGUCUGCCCCUGGCUACCUCCUGGCUACCUGCUUCCCACCCUGGAGACCGAGGGGCCCUCCCACUGCCUGCCCAGCCCACGCCCACACCCUCCAGAAAAUGGGUCCUGACCUCGCCAGUCAGCCAGGGAAGGGCCCCAAUGGCCCUGUGCAGGGCCCGGAUCUCCUCAGAGGGUCCCGUGAUGAGGGACGUGCCUGUGUCGAAAAUGGCCGCACAGCCCUGGACACAGAGAGUCAGCCCUGUGCCCACCUUCACUCUGCCAAGGGGAGGAGCGGCCAUUAGUCAAGGCCCUAGGGCUCCAGAGCCCAGGACCCGGAAGGCCAGGCCACUCACUGGUCCAUGUGGAUCUGCCAGUAGGCUGGGACGGUGACCGGCAGGAAGGUGAGGGGCGCGACGUAGUGGGCGGGGUCUGCGCCGCCCAGGACCAGCUGGCCUCCAUCAGCGCCUGCGAAGUCCCUGCAGAGGCAGAGUGCUGUAGGUGUUGCCGCCUUUCCCCUGCCGCCCAGGAGCGACCAGAGGUGGGACUUCGUGCCAAAUGGGUGGUUUCUUAGUUCUAGGUGGGAUGGUGGGGCUGGGAGCAAGGCAAGAAGAGAAAUGCUGCCCCUCUCUCUCUCUACCCCCCUUCCUCCCUUUUAUUAUCAUUUUAUUCUGAGACGGGGUCUCAGGAAGUAACCCAAGGUGGCCUUGAACUAAGGAGCUGGGAUUACAGGCCUGUGCCACCACGUCCAGGGGAAGUGGUGAUUUUAACACCAUUGGGGAAGGACUUUAGUGUGCUUUGGGACAUCCUGAAGUGGGGAUGCCACUGCCCCACCUGCCUGUGGACGGUAGAACCUUUGAGGGGAAAGUUCCUGAGCCAGAUGUCCUUGUGCCUGGGUGGAGUAUUGAGAUUUAGAAUCUUGGUGUGUGGCCAGGGUAGAAGGGGGCUGAGUGACUGACUUCCUGUGGGUGGUGAGACUCCCGAGUUGUGUGCCUAGGUCUCUAGAGAGGCGUUGGGCCUCCAGAGCCAGCAGGGAGUGAUGGGGCCUGUGAAAAGGGAGGCGGGACCUGCAGCGUGGGCUGGGUGUCACGGUAACUGGGCGCAGGAAUGCCUCUGUGGGUGAUGGUCGGGGGGGCUUCCUGACGGUAAGGGUUUCUGAGCGUAAGAGUGGACUUCCCAGCAGCAGGCAGGACUCUGGGUUACAAUGGGCAAUUUCUGACUUCUGCUGAGUGUUCUUGAGUGGAACGUGAGAUAUCUUAAGGGUAAAGAGAGGGUUCCAAGUAUUUAAUUGGGCGGAGUGUGGAAUUUCCUGUUUGGUUUUGAAGUGAGAAAGCACUGGGAACGGAAAGUUACUGUAGUGUGUCUUAAGUUGUCACUUAAGCUGUGAGGCUUCUGAGAGUUGGGGUGCUGUUAUGUUGGCUAAGUGUUCUCCUGAAGGGAGAGUGAGGACUUCCAGAAAGGACGGUGGUGCCGCGCUGGACACUCCUGAAGGGUGGCAGAAGUCCUCCCUGGGGCCGGGCCUCUGCUCCCAGUACCUGUUGAGGUAGAAGGAGAAGACAGGCUUCUCCAGCAGUCCCUUCUCCACCAGGACAUCCAGUGGGGGUGGAACUCUGUCCACGGCCAGAAUGGGAAAGCCCAGGCCAAAUAUCCCGUCGAAGGAGGCAAAAGUAAAGACCAGGCUGGGCUCCCACAGGGCCUCCCCAAAAGUCACCGAUGCAUUGUUGAUUCCCCCAAUCUAGGAGUAGAUUGAGAUGCGGCGGUUACUUAUGGGAAGACGUUACCCAGACAGCCCUGAGACUGAAACGUCUGGGGUUUAGAAGUCCCAUCUGCCUCCCUCAUUGAGAAGCCCCGCCCCUUACCAGGAGGCCCCGCCUCUCCAAGCCCCUCCCUAAACCGCCGGCGCUAGACCCUGGGGUUGUUCUAAAUUGAGCCUUCCUGGGGCUGAAGGUCACGCACGGUCAGUUUGUCCUCACUCAGGAUUCCGCUCAGCCGUCCGGUUCCGUAUUGGAUGGUGAAUUUCGUCCCGUUGGGCCGAAAGGAGCUGGAGGCUUUGGAAUCGUAACGGUGGUGGAACCCUAAAGGAGAAGAGCAGAGAGGUGUCAGGGCGAGAUGGGAGUCUACCCCGUGCCUUCUGCUCCUUUCAGCUUCUUCGCUGUGAGGAAGUCCGAAGAAAAUGGUCUUCCC
Molecule: long non-coding RNA, 6038 nt
Organism: Fukomys damarensis (Damara mole-rat)
Lineage: Eukaryota; Metazoa; Chordata; Mammalia; Rodentia; Bathyergidae
Exons: 2
Source: RefSeq, a predicted model, not a curated record